This 409-nucleotide long non-coding RNA is filed under the name Rosa chinensis. RNAcentral's name for it is "sRNA RchiOBHm_Chr3g0467021". The record is from RNAcentral. Lineage: Eukaryota; Viridiplantae; Streptophyta; Magnoliopsida; Rosales; Rosaceae.
CUUCUGCCAUUGACUCAGACUGCUCGCCUCCAAAAACUUUAUAAUGCAUGAUUUCAUGUUUGACGAUCAGGACCUGGGCUUCUUUGCCAAUUUCCUUGGCAUCUUCAUCUUUGUUUUGGUAAUCGCGUAUCAUUAUGUGAUGGCUGACCCAAAAUAUGAAUAGACAUGCCAUUUUUGCUAUUGAUAGAGAUGUCCUAUUACUUUUGUAGUAUGAGUGGUUUCACAAUGGAUACAACUUAAUUUAGUUAAAGGCGUUAUUAUGCAAUAUGAAUGUUCGCUAUUAUAGACACGUGAUUUUCAUUCACUUAUAAUUUCUGCUUUCAUAAAAAGUUUGCAGCACUUUUGCGUUGAUACUAAUGGAUAUUGGCUGUGUUUAUAUUUGAAUUUGGUUAUACUGUUUGAUAAGAUG